Molecule: long non-coding RNA, 1817 nt
Organism: Camarhynchus parvulus
Lineage: Eukaryota; Metazoa; Chordata; Aves; Passeriformes; Thraupidae
Exons: 2
Source: RefSeq, a predicted model, not a curated record
GCGGGGUCCGCGGUGUCGCGGCGCGAUGGGGCUGGCGGCGGCGCGGGGCUGGGCGCUGUCGCCGCUGUCGCCGGGCCCGGCGGAGCGCAGCCGGCCCUACGCUGUGCUGCAGCAUCAGAACUUGGUGCUGCUGGGCAGCAUCCUCAGCGCUCUGCUGCUCACCAUCAUCCUCAUGGCCAUCUGUGUGUACCGGCCCGUCCGGCGGCGGUAGCGGAGCGGGACCCGCCGGGGCAUCGAGAGAAUGCUGCAUCCCACACGGAUCUCCCACCUGGAAUCCGCCAUCCCAGCACCGCUUCAGCCCUGCCGGUUCUCCCGCCUGGUACCCACCGUCCCGGCACUGCUCCGGACCCAGCAGGUUCUCCCCUCCGGUUCCCACCGUGCCAGCGCUGCUCCGGUCCCGCCCGGUUCUCCCCUCCGCUCCCGGCAGCUGCUGGGGAUGCGCUGAGGAUGCGAGCGUGGCUUUUCCUCCAUCUCUGCCCGUGCUGUAUCCCGUGGCUCCAUCGUGAUGUGGCUUCCAGCAGUGCUCUGGCCGGCUGCUGGAAAUCAUCCUCUUCCUCAGCAAAGACUCCUGGAGCGUGUCCGCAGCGAACCCGCCUGGCUCGGAGCAGGGGCUGAGCAGCGCCUCCCAAAUCCCCGCGUUUUGGCGAGGCUGAGCCGACCCCGUGUGCUCCAGAGCAUCCCCGGGGCGUGCAGGCACCCGGGGCCUCGGAUGGCACAAGGACAGGGCGAGGCUGGCGGCAUUGUCCGAGGAGCAGCUCCACGUGCUCGGUCACACCACCUCUGCUUUUUGCUUUCUGAUUAAUUCAGGUCCUUGUUUGAACGCCGAGUCCUGGGGGUUGGACGGGGCUCGGAGCAAGCUGGGGUGGUGGGGGGUGUCCCUGUCAGGGCAGGGGGUAGAACAGGAUGAGCUUUAAGGUCCCAUUCAAAAAUAUUCCAAAGGUAAAAGCCCAGUGAGCCAGCAGUGGGUGGAGGGUCUGGUCCAUUCCUGCCUCUGAGCAGAAACACUGAUGCAGUUUUCCCAAACCAGGCUUCUCAUUCCCAACAUUAUUUGCUUUAACUCCCGGCUAAAAAGCCCCAAAUAACCUCCCAUCAAACCAGCCCUGCCGAAGCUGUUGGGAACUGGGCUGCAGGUGAGGGGUUCCAGCGUGUGCUGGUCACUGUCCUGCAAACAGGAGCCUCCAAAGGUCUCCAAGCCAGGCAGAUGCUCUGGAAGAGUCUGAGCUCCAGCCAGACCCAUUUUAUGCAGUUUCAGUAACAAGUGUUUACACUGAAUCCCACUUCCAUACGAAUGCUGCUAUUUUGUUUUGCACUGCUACAAGUAGGAACUGGAUUUUACUAAUUAUUACUUUAAUAUUUAACAUAGGGGUGUUUUGCUUAGUAAUUUAUUUAGAGUUUUAAAAUGUAACUUCCAGAACAAUUGUUGUUGACCUGUUCUCAAGCCCUCGUGCUGCAUCUGAGGUGUUUGCUGUUCUGUUUCAAGGACACUGAGUGCUGGCAUUGAACAGGGAUUUUCUUUGUUUUGAGAAAUGACAGAGUGAGCCUGGCCUCGAGCAGAUGGAGUUGUUAAUCCAAGAGUGAGGCAGCAAGGCAGCACUGUUCUUUCUAUUGCUUUCUGCUCCUUCUUUUGAUUCCUGUGCUCCUGAUUUUCCUUGCUCCUUCAUCUCUGUGAAGCCUGGCCUGCAGCCUGUGCUGCUCGUGGGGGUGGAUGGUGAAGCUCCCAGCCCCAGCUCUGCAUUCCCAGGAGCAGAAUUCCUGUUUGCUCUCAUUCCUCACUCCCUGCUAUGCCUCUUUGUACAAAUAAAACGCUCAGUAAACAA